RNAcentral lists this long non-coding RNA (199 nucleotides) under Elaeis guineensis (African oil palm). RNAcentral's name for it is "long non-coding RNA (EGUI_LNC063450)". Lineage: Eukaryota; Viridiplantae; Streptophyta; Magnoliopsida; Arecales; Arecaceae. The record is from RNAcentral.
CCCUAUCUCUCCAUAACAUGAGAUUCCAUGCUUCAAAUCUGGUGUGCACCCUCUCCUCUCUUCCGUGAAAAGAAAUAAGGGGCGUCUCUCUUUUUUGGUGGUCGUCCAAGAGUUGGAUGCCCCAACAUCCACAGCCAACCCCUUUUUCUCUUUCCCAUCUUGAUAUGAUUUUGUAAGGCUUUGCUUGCUAGUUUUUGGG